RNAcentral lists this ribosomal RNA (617 nucleotides) under uncultured bacterium. RNAcentral's name for it is "bacterial SSU rRNA". It matches the Rfam family "Bacterial small subunit ribosomal RNA", at positions 28 to 614 of the family's 1533-position model. The record is from RNAcentral.
GACGAACGCUGGCGGCGUGCCUAACACAUGCAAGUCGAACGGAGUUAUUACUUAAGUUUACUUUUGUAAUGACUUAGUGGCGAACGGGUGAGUAACGCGUGGGUAACCUGCCCUUAAGAUUGGGACAACAGCUGGAAACGGCUGCUAAUACCGAAUGGAUUUACCGGAAGGCAUCUUCUGGUAAGGAAAGCUGGCCUCUGAACAUGCUAGCGCUUAAGGAUGGACCCGCGUCUGAUUAGCUAGUUGGUAAGGUAACGGCUUACCAAGGCGACGAUAGGUAGCCGGCCUGAGAGGGUAAUCGGCCACACUGGGACUGAGACACGGCCCAGACUCCUACGGGAGGCAGCAGUGGGGAAUCUUCCGCAAUGGACGAAAGUCUGACGGAGCAACGCCGCGUGUAUGAAGAAGGCCUUCGGGUUGUAAAAUACUGUUGUUAGGGAAGAACGGCAUCUGUGUAAAUAAUGCAGGUGAUUGACGGUACCUAACGAGGAAGCCCCGGCUAACUACGUGCCAGCAGCCGCGGUAAUACGUAGGGGGCGAGCGUUGUCCGGAAUUAUUGGGCGUAAAGGGCGCGUAGGCGGCCAUUUAAGUCUGAUGUGAAAGUGCGGGGCUUAACC